UAGGGAAUCUUCGGCAAUGGGGGGAACCCUGACCGAGCAACGCCGCGUGAGUGAAGAAGGUUUUCGGAUCGUAAAGCUCUGUUGUUAAGGAAGAACGAGUGUGAGAAUGGAAAGUUCAUACUGUGACGGUACUUAACCAGAAAGGGACGGCUAACUACGUGCCAGCAGCCGCUGUAAUACGUAGGUCCCGAGCGUUGUCCGGAUUUAUUGGGCGUAAAGCGCGCGUAGGCGGUUUUUUAAGUCUGAUGUGAAAGCCCACGGCUCAACCGUGGAGGGUCAUUGGAAUCUGGAAAACUUGAGUGCAGAAGAGGAAAGUGGAAUUCCAUGUGUAGCGGUGAAAUGCGCAGAGAUAUGGAGGAACGCCAGUGGCGAAGGCGACUUUCUGGUCUGUAACUGACGCUGAUGUGCGAAAGCGUGGGGAUCAAACAGG
This 430-nucleotide ribosomal RNA is filed under the name Bacteroidota bacterium. RNAcentral's name for it is "Bacteroidetes bacterium partial 16S ribosomal RNA". It matches the Rfam family "Bacterial small subunit ribosomal RNA", at positions 355 to 776 of the family's 1533-position model. The record is from RNAcentral. Lineage: Bacteria; Pseudomonadati; Bacteroidota.